UUUGCUACUUUCACCAAGAUCAG
This 23-nucleotide microRNA is filed under the name Ciona intestinalis (vase tunicate). RNAcentral describes it as "Cin-Mir-4057_3p (mature (guide))". The record is from RNAcentral. Lineage: Eukaryota; Metazoa; Chordata; Ascidiacea; Phlebobranchia; Cionidae.